UGGGCCUGGACGGUUGCCCCUAUCGCCCACCCUCUGGGACGGGCCUGUGUCUACCGCCACCAUCACACCACUUACCGCCGGCUUCACUCUCAACAAACACUAACCACACUUAUAGCAGAGUGGGUAGGUUACCCUUCUUCUAUACCAGUUGCCGCUUCACCAUUCUCCUCCACCAAUAACUCCAUUAAUCCCCACCACAUGCCGGUGCUCCCUUAUCCUCUUUACUUUUCUUCUAUGUGAUUGAAAUAUACAGUUUGGAAUAUGGGAAUUUCUUUUUUAUUCUAGGGUUUUUGUUGGAAGACACCAAAACAAUGACCAUCAUCUAAUAACCGCACCUACUCCCUUCUCCCCGGGACUCUCCACGGUAACACAUGUAUGCUUCGUUUCUCUCUUCUUCACCCUAUUCUUUUCGAUUUAUUGUUUGAUUUUCAAUUCCUAAUAUCUCUUUUCACAUAAUCAAAUUUUUUACUUAAUUUUUGUUGUUACAGGGUUUUGAUUUUAUGUAAUGGAUUAAAAAUCACAAUUUCAAAAUUCAUCAGCUAAAAGGAAAGCGGUUUUCGUUAAUAUCCAUCUUCAUAUUCUGAUCCUGACUUACUUUUUCUCUCGAUUUGGUUAUCAUUUUUUACUAGAAAAAAUAUGUUUUUUUGGUUGAUUUUCUUACUCUUCCUAUGCAGAAGACGAUAACAACAAGAUAAGAAGGCUCUAUCAAACGUUUUCAAGGUAUCAACAAGUAAAAGGUAACGUCACUACUUUUGUGGUUUGUAGACUUGGCCUCGAGCCCUUACUGCAUCUUCUUUCCAGUUUUUUUUUAGAAUAAAAUGUUAAAUGAAUGAAGCAUACAUAUAGAAUUUGCUUUCCCUAUGUGCCCUGAACCCCGUUUGUAGUCACCAGGUUUAAAAGUGACCUACAUUCUAUGUAUCCAUGGCAGCUACAUGACCCACCUGGUCACCUCUUGUUUUUUUUCACUAAACAUGAUUAUCUAUUUUAUGAUAUAAGGUGUUGAAGACAUCGAUUGGGCCGUAGAGAUGCUCAUAUCCAUUGAUUUGAAGGUUGUUAACAUCCUGCUUGAUUGUGUAAGUCAAGAUUAUAAAAGUAUCUUAUGAUAAUGAAUGGAUUAAAAAAUAAUUUUAAUGAUUAUAAGUAACAAAAGUCUUAUCAUCUACAUUUAUCGUUUCCUCAGUAAUGAAGUUUUGGGUUGUUAGUUUUUGAAAUGGUCCUACAAGAAAAUUGAACUUACCAAUUAUGGUUACCGUAAAAACAUUACCUUCGUAUUACUUCAUGCAAACGUCAUAAAGAGUUAUAAUUUUGGUUCCUGUAGUGUACAUUUUUUAGCUUUGUAAGGGCAGAAUAGUCAUAUUUAUAGUAUUCACAUCUAUCUUGUUUCAUGCAUUCAUGGUGUCUCAUGUUCAAGGCAGUAUAAUUAUCCCAGAACGUGAAGUAGUUAUAAGUGCAAAACCAUGAUUUGGUGGUGGUGUGUGAACUUCACUUUUUCUUUCUCUUUGUUUUAUAUGGUCACCAUUUCUUAACAUUGCUUUCCUCUUGUUUUUGUACAGGUGAAGAAGAAUAUGUGGGUUUUCUUUUCAACUUUUUCACUGUUGUUCUCUGGUAAUGUGAAAGGGGCCUCAUUUUGCUAAUUUUGUGUCUUCGGUGUUUAUGUUUACAUAACCUUUUGGGCUCUUAUCUUCCGAUUUUCGGGUGUAAAAAAUUAUAAAUCUUUUUGCUAUAUUCUUAAAAUGAUAUUGGACUAAGAAAAGAAACAUGUAUAGUAUUAUUCUAGAGUCUAAAUUUUGUUCUUUGUGAUCUGUUUUAGAUUUCUUUUUUUAGAAACAUAAAGAUGAAAUUUUCUUUCCUUGAUAACUUGUAAAUGUUUUCACCCCUUUUUAGGUGCUUUUGGGUGGGUUUAUGGUAAAUAAACUGAACCUAUUUUGGAGUAAUAAUGGAUGGGCGUUGGCAUUUAGUUGACAUUCCUCAUUCAAAAGCAUUGAUAACUCUUAGAAGAGUGAGAUAACUUAGAAGAAUGAGAUAACUUAGAGACCCAUCCACUAAUUAACAAAUUUGCUGUUUGUUUUUCUAUAAAAACCUCUUCAAACCACUUAUUGCUGCGCGGCGCAGCACACGCGCAACACUUUCCAUCUCGCAGCAGUUUGUUUUUUGGAAGACUUCAGACUACAAAACAUCUGCACGUGUGCUGCGUAGCGCAGCACUUGACUUGCCUCUUUUAACCUCUUCAACUUUCAUUUUUUCUAAGUGUUUUUUUAAGAAUUUUUGUAUAACUUUUUUUUUAAUUUUUUUUUUAAACUUUGAUUUUCUUAAAUUUUUAUUUACGGAUGUGAC
RNAcentral lists this long non-coding RNA (2334 nucleotides) under Lactuca sativa (garden lettuce). RNAcentral describes it as "long non-coding RNA (LSAT_LNC005963)". The record is from RNAcentral. Lineage: Eukaryota; Viridiplantae; Streptophyta; Magnoliopsida; Asterales; Asteraceae.